Long non-coding RNA from Xyrauchen texanus (razorback sucker), 664 nucleotides. RefSeq lists it as uncharacterized. The record is from RefSeq and is a predicted model, not a curated record. NCBI's taxonomy places the organism in Eukaryota, Metazoa, Chordata, Actinopteri, Cypriniformes, Catostomidae. The transcript is spliced from 3 exons.
AGGGAGACAGAGCUACAUGGGAACCUAUUAGAUAACCAAUUCUCUCAGCCGCCUCACAGGGUGAGAAAGUAAGCGAGCGAGAGAGAGAGAGAGAGAGAGUGGACACACAGGAAUUCCAUUCAAUCCCAGACCUGCAAGAGUUAGUUCUGCAUGAUCACCACAAGAGCCCAAAACAACCUGACUCAAUUCACACCAUGUCACCUCACAUUUCCCGGUCCGCUCUGCUGCAGGGGAUCAUACCGGGAGGAAACAUCCCAUUCAGGCUGGCUGUAGCUCGAACAGGCUUGGCAGGACAAAUGAGAUGGUGUCUACUAGUUCAAUAGAGCAGCUGUAAAUGAUUAAAAACUCUCCAUGGGUUUGUAAAGGAUUUGUCAGGUCUGUAAUGGAUUCUGAAGGCUACAAAUUUACCAGAAGCCAUGAAGACAGAAAGCAAACAGACCUUUGAGCAGUGUGGGUGCGAGAAGGGUCUUCCUCAUCCAUAGAAAGAAAUGUUAAUCUGCUUUUAGCUGAGCUCUUGUUUUUCUAGCACUCUAUAAAUUUGUCAAUUUAAAAACAUACAGUAGUGAAAGCUCCUACAGUAAUGAGUUUUGCAGGCUCUUUAAUGGAAGUCAGCAUCUGUGCCCUUACACUUUCUUUCACUAACAUAAUCACUGUUUAAAGUCUC